Poecile atricapillus (Black-capped chickadee) is the source of this 4137-nucleotide long non-coding RNA. RefSeq lists it as uncharacterized. NCBI's taxonomy places the organism in Eukaryota, Metazoa, Chordata, Aves, Passeriformes, Paridae. The record is from RefSeq and is a predicted model, not a curated record. The transcript is spliced from 9 exons.
CAGGAACGGGCCGAGGGGUUGCCGCGCGCCCUGUGACGACGGCGUCCAGCUCCCAGUGUGGCCGAAGCGCGCGGCUUCAGGAUGUGGCCGAGCGCAGGAGACCCUGACCGAGAGACGGCAGCCUGGCGAUGGCAGGAACUUUCCAGAUGGCGAGGCGGCCUUCCUUGGCGCUCCAUGUGGAUCCUCCCCGCUGGGCAUCCGAGAGCUGAGUCGGAGGCUGCGAAUUGCAGAGGGGCUGAAAUCGGGGUGCCGGGUCGGGACUUGUGACCUGGGAUUAUGGAGUCAGCUUUGGGGACGGGGAGGUCCAGGCUGCGGCCCCUUAGGCCACGUGAAGGGAGAGCCUCACAUUUGUUCACAGUGCUGAGGUGUGCAGGACAGAGCAGUCCCGAGGCGCGUUGUAUCACUUGUCCGUCGUGCCUUCUGUGUCUUUUGUGCUCCUUGUGUUGUACGUGCCUCGCCUUAUCUCUUCUGGGGGCUUACCAGAAACCCCGGCGUCACUCCUCGCAUCUCUGAUCUCUGGGCUCCUCAGCCCGACACCAUCGAAGCUUUGCCUCAGGAGCUCUCAGAGGCCUCGAAAUCGCGUCUCUCUUUUAAAAGCAUCCGAUCGGAUGUCUUUUAGAGGUCUUGUUCCGAGCUGUGUCGACAGCCGUGCGCCGCGAGGAUCCAUUGUUGCGGCUUAGGUCUUGAAGAAACGCAGAGAUAGGUAGGGGACUGUGGCCCUCAGAUUCUCGGGCAUCCGUCUUGGCAGUUGCUGGAGUUUGUCAUUCCAUCAGCAUCUUCUUCCUCCCGGGUUCUGCGAGCUUCAUCAGCUCGCCUUCAUUCUCACCCGGCUCAUCUCGUUCCGCGUUGUCUCGGUCCUUGCGGCCAUUCUUGUGGCCCAGAGUUUUGUCUCCCCAUUGUGUCCCCUCAUCUGUUGUCUUGUGUGUCACGGGUGUCUGGGUGUAGUUGUCCCGGAGCUGCUCUGUCCUGCUGCCCAGCCUGGGUGUAGGUGUAAAAGGCCAAGUCCCAGGCCCCUGUAAUUUGAAAUUUGUCAUGUAGGGUGUAGUUGGAGUCUAGCGGGUGUUCCUAGAUUGACACAAGAUGUGUGGAGCUGUGAAGUUACUCUGCAGCACUUUGACUUUUGUCUUAGCUUUCUUUCAGAUGCGGACGGAUGAAAUCGGUGGCAGAGCGCCCCAUCCACGGUAAGGGGGUUCCCGGGAGAAGGUAAGUCAAUGUUUGUCUUUGCAGGGCAACUGGAACCGAUCACUGUGUGACAGGUCUCCUCUUUGUCUUUAUUUUUAGGAAGUAGAGCCAGCUGGCAGCAGUCAAGGCGAAGUGGGCAAGGCGGUCCAGUCGCGUUUCGCUGAGACGUCCUUGCCAACCGGCCGGCACAGCUGCUUCACCGCUCCCGUGAGCCCUGCGGAAGCGUUAUGGAACCGUGUGACGGAGCGUUUUCCACGUAAAGGGGCUGUGUGGGUGGCCUUCAGGAACGGGCCGAUGGGUUGCCGCGCGCCCUGUGACGACGGCGUCCAGCUCCCAGUGUGGCCGAAGCGCGCGGCUUCAGGAUGUGGCCGAGCGCAGGAGACCCUGACCGAGAGACGGCAGCCUGGCGAUGGCAGGAACUUUCCAGAUGGCGAGGCGGCCUUCCUUGGCGCUCCAUGUGGAUCCUCCCCGCUGGGCAUCCGAGAGCUGAGUCGGAGGCUGCGAAUUGCAGAGGGGCUGAAAUCGGGGUGCCGGGUCGGGACUCUGGACCUGGGAUUAUGGAGUCAGCUUUGGGGACGGGGAGGUCCAGGCUGUGGCCCCUUAGGCCACGUGAAGGGAGAGCCUCACAUUUGUUCACAGUGCUGAGGUGCGCAGGACAGAGCAGUCCUGGGGCGUGUCGUAUCACUUGUCCGUCGUGCCUUCUGUGUCUUUUGUGCUUCUUGUGUUGUACGUGCCUUGCCUUAUCUCUUCUGGGGGCUUACCAGAAACCCCGGCGUCACUCCUCGCAUCUCUGAUCUCUGGGCUCCUCAGCCCGACACCAUCGAAGCUUUGCCUCUGGAGCCCUCAGAGGCCUUGGAAUCGCGUCUCUCUUUUAAAAGCAUCCGAUCGGAUGUCUUUUAGAGGUCUUGUUCCGAGCUGUGUCGACAGCCGUGCGCCGCAAGGAUCCAUUGUUGCGGCUUAGGUCUUGAAGAAACGCAGAGAUAGGUAGGGGACUGUGGCCCUCAGAUUCUCGGGCAUCCGUCUUGGCAGUUGCUGGAGUUUGUCAUUCCAUCAGCAUCUUCUUCCUCCCGGGUUCUGCGAGCUUCAUCAGCUCGCCUUCAUUCUCACCCGGCUCAUCUCGCUCCGCGUUCUCUCGGUCCUUGCGGCCAUUCUUGUGGCCCAGAGUUUUGUCUCCCCAUUGUGUCCCCUCGUCUGUUGUCUUGUGUGUCACGGGUGUCUGGGUGUAGUUGUCCCAGAGCUGCUCUGUCCUGCUGCCCAGCCUGGGUGUAGGUGUAAAAGGCCAAGUCCCAGGCCCCUGUAAUUUGAAAUUUGUCAUGUAGGGUGUAGUUGGAGUCUAGCGGGUGUUCCUAGAUUGACACAAGAUGUGUGGAGCUGUGAAGUUACCCUGCAGCACUUUGACUUUUGUCUUAGCUUUCUUUCAGAUGCAGACGGAUGAAAUCGGUGGCAGAGCGCCCCAUCCACGGUAAGGGGGUUCCCGGGAGAAGGUAAGUCAAUGUUUGUCUUUGCAGGGCAACUGGAACCGAUCACUGUGUGACAGGUCUCCUCUUUGUCUUUAUUUUUAGGAAGUAGAGCCAGCUGGCAGCAGUCAAGGCGAAGUGGGCAAGGCAGUCCAGUCACAUUUUGCUGAGAUCCCCUCGCCAACCGGCCGGCACAGCUGUUUCACCGCUCCCGUGAGCCCGGCGGAAGCUUUACGGGACCGUGAGGCGGAGCCUUUUCCACGUAAAGGGGUCGUGUUUGUGGCCUUCAGGAACGGGCCGAUGGGUUGCCGCGCGCCCUGUGACGACGGCGUCCGGCUCCCAGUGUGGCCGAAGCGCGCGGCCUCAGGAUGUGGCCGAGCGCAGGAGACCCUGACCGAGAGACGGCAGCCUGGCGAUGGCAGGAACUUCCCAGAUGGCGAGGCGGCCUUCCUUGGUGCUCCAUGUUGAUCCACCCUGCCAGGCAUCUGAGAGCUAAGUCGAAGGCUAUGAAUUGCAGAGGGGAUGAAAGCGUGACCUGGGAUUAUGGAGUCAGCUUUGUUGAUGGGGAGGUCCAGGCCGUGGCCCCUUAGGCCACGUGAAGGGAGAGCCUCAGAUUUGUUCACAGUGCUGAGGUGGGCAGGACAGAGCAGUCCUGGGGCGUGUCGUAUCACUUGUCCGUCGUGCCUUCUGUGUCUUUUGUGCCUCUCGUGUUGUACGUGCCUCGCCUUAUCUCUUCUGGGGGCUUACCAGAAACCCCGGUGUCACUCCUCGCAUCUCUGAUCUCUGGGCUCCUCAGCCCGACACCAUCGAAGCUUUGCCUCAGGAGCUCUCAGAGGCCUCGAAAUCGCGUCUCUCUUUUAAAAGCAUCCGAUCGGAUGUCUUUUAGAGGUCUUGUUCCGAGCUGUGUCGACAGCCGUGCGCCGCGAGGAUCCAUUGUUGCGGCUUAGGUCUUGAAGAAACGCAGAGAUAGGUAGGGGACUGUGGCCCUCAGAUUCUCGGGCAUCCGUCUUGGCAGUUGCUGGAGUUUGUCAUUCCAUCAGCAUCUUCUUCCUCCCGGGUUCUGCGAGCUUCAUCAGCUCGCCUUCAUUCUCACCCGGCUCAUCUCGUUCCGCGUUGUCUCGGUCCUUGCGGCCAUUCUUGUGGCCCAGAGUUUUGUCUCCCCAUUGUGUCCCCUCAUCUGUUGUCUUGUGUGUCACGGGUGUCUGGGUGUAGUUGUCCCGGAGCUGCUCUGUCCUGCUGCCCAGCCUGGGUGUAGGUGUAAAAGGCCGAGUCCCAGGCCCCUGUAAUUUGAAAUUUGUCAUGUAGGGUGUAGUUGGAGUCUAGCGGGUGUUCCUAGAUUGACACAAGAUGUGUGGAGCUGUGAAGUUACCCUGCAGCACUUUGACUUUUGUCUUAGCUUUCUUUCAGAUGCGGACGGAUGAAAUCGGUGGCAGAGCGCCCCAUCCAGGGUAAGGGGGUUCCCGGGAGAAGGUAAGUCAAUGUUUGUCUUUGCAGGGCA